Molecule: ribosomal RNA, 484 nt
Filed under: uncultured bacterium
Lineage: Bacteria
Description: partial 16S ribosomal RNA
Rfam family: Bacterial small subunit ribosomal RNA
Source: RNAcentral
AUUGAACGCUGGCGGCAGGCCUAACACAUGCAAGUCGAGCGGAUGAAGGGAGCUUGCUCCUGGAUUCAGCGGCGGACGGGUGAGUAAUGCCUAGGAAUCUGCCUGGUAGUGGGGGAUAACGUCCGGAAACGGGCGCUAAUACCGCAUACGUCCUGAGGGUGAAAGUGGGGGAUCUUUGGACCUCACGCUAUCAGAUGAGCCUAGGUCGGAUUAGCUAGUUGGUGGGGUAAGUGCCUACCAAGGCGACGAUCCGUAACUGGUCUGAGAGGAUGAUCUGUCACACUGGAACUGAGACACGGUCCAGACUCCUACGGGAGGCAGCAGUGGGGAAUAUUGGGCAAUGGGCGAAAGCCUGAUCCAGCCAGGCCGCGUGUGUGAAGAAGGUCUUCGGAUUGUAAAGCACUUUAAGUUGGGAGGAAGGGCAGUAAGCUAAUACCUGGCUGUUUUGACGUUACCAACAGAAUAAGCACCGGCUAACUACGUG